Molecule: transfer RNA, 68 nt
Filed under: Marmota monax (woodchuck)
Lineage: Eukaryota; Metazoa; Chordata; Mammalia; Rodentia; Sciuridae
Rfam family: tRNA
About the family: Transfer RNA (tRNA) molecules are approximately 80 nucleotides in length. Their secondary structure includes four short double-helical elements and three loops (D, anti-codon, and T loops).
Source: Rfam by way of RNAcentral
GGGGUUGUGGCUCAGUGGUAGAGCGCUCACCUUACACGUGUGAGACACUGGUUCAAUCCUCAGCACCA